Molecule: ribosomal RNA, 442 nt
Filed under: uncultured bacterium
Lineage: Bacteria
Description: partial 16S ribosomal RNA
Rfam family: Bacterial small subunit ribosomal RNA
Source: RNAcentral
CCUACGGGAGGCAGCAGUGGGGAAUAUUGGGCAAUGGGCGCAAGCCUGACCCAGCAACGCCGCGUGAAGGAAGAAGGCUUUCGGGUUGUACACUUCUUUUGACAGGGAAGAGCAGAAGACGGUACCUGUCGAAUAAGCCACGGCUAACUACGUGCCAGCAGCCGCGGUAAUACGUAGGUGGCAAGCGUUGUCCGGAUUUACUGGGGGUAAAGGGCGUGUAGCCGGGCUGACAAGUCAGAUGUGAAAUCCGGGGGCUCAACCCCCGAACUGCAUUUGAAACUGUUGGUCUUGAGUAUCGGAGAGGCAGGCGGAAUUCCUAGUGUAGCGGUGAAAUGCGUAGAUAUUAGGAGGAACACCAGUGGCGAAGGCGGCCUGCUGGACGACAACUGACGGUGAGGCGCGAAAGCGUGGGGAGCAAACAGGAUUAGAUACCCGGGUAGUC